RNAcentral lists this ribosomal RNA (484 nucleotides) under uncultured bacterium. Its description in RNAcentral is "partial 16S ribosomal RNA". It matches the Rfam family "Bacterial small subunit ribosomal RNA", at positions 29 to 507 of the family's 1533-position model. The record is from RNAcentral.
AUUGAACGCUGGCGGCAUGCUUUACACAUGCAAGUCGAACGGCAGCGCGGGCUUCGGCCUGGCGGCGAGUGGCGAACGGGUGAGUAAUGCAUCGGAACGUGCCCAGUAGUGGGAGAUAGCCCGGCGAAAGCCGGAUUAAUACCGCAUACGACCUGAGGGUGAAAGCGGGGGACCGAAAGGCCUCGCGCUAUUGGAGCGGCCGAUGUCGGAUUAGCUAGUUGGUGGGGUAAAGGCUUACCAAGGCGACGAUCCGUAGCUGGUCUGAGAGGACGACCAGCCACACUGGGACUGAGACACGGCCCAGACUCCUACGGGAGGCAGCAGUGGGGAAUUUUGGACAAUGGGGGCAACCCUGAUCCAGCCAUGCCGCGUGCGGGAAGAAGGCCUUCGGGUUGUAAACCGCUUUUGUUCGGGAAGAAAUCCUCUGGGCUAAUACCCCGGGGGGAUGACGGUACCGGAAGAAUAAGCACCGGCUAACUACGUG